UAUGUAUCUCGAUCAAAAGGUGGUUAUUUAGUUGAUGAUAUAUUAGAAAUCUCUUUUUAAUUAUCAUUCUACUUUGACCAAAGAUUUUUUGAAUCAUCGUCAUGUGAGAUCACAUAGGAUGUUCGCUCCCCUUAUUAGGAGUGAUCGAUUUUUUAUUGACCACUCACAACCUUCAUAUACACUUCACCAUAUCCAGAAUACCCCAC
RNAcentral lists this long non-coding RNA (206 nucleotides) under Elaeis guineensis (African oil palm). Its description in RNAcentral is "long non-coding RNA (EGUI_LNC063827)". The record is from RNAcentral. Lineage: Eukaryota; Viridiplantae; Streptophyta; Magnoliopsida; Arecales; Arecaceae.